RNAcentral lists this unclassified non-coding RNA (203 nucleotides) under Hevea brasiliensis (rubber tree). The record is from RNAcentral. Lineage: Eukaryota; Viridiplantae; Streptophyta; Magnoliopsida; Malpighiales; Euphorbiaceae.
ACAAAGGGUUCUUGGCUUGCCAGGUACGUAACUAAAAUUUACCACAAUUUGAACUUGAGAAUGUUUAAUCUAUACAAAUUGGAUUGAAAUUAUGCAUUAUCUUCUUAGAAUUACUAUGCAAACAUCUAGCAAGACAAAAUUUCCACUAAGUUUCUCUUUUUUAUUCUUCUCCUCGGAAUAGGCUCAUAGAGUUUCUCACAAGU